This 370-nucleotide ribosomal RNA is filed under the name uncultured bacterium. RNAcentral describes it as "bacterial SSU rRNA". It matches the Rfam family "Bacterial small subunit ribosomal RNA", at positions 527 to 896 of the family's 1533-position model. The record is from RNAcentral.
GUUGGGAGCGAGCGUUAUCCGGAUUUAUUGGGUGUAAAGGGUGCGUAGAUGGAUAUGCAAGUUGGUUGUGAAAUACCUCGGCUUAACUGAGGAACUGCAACCAAAACUGCAAAUCUUGAGUACUGGAGGGGAAAGCGGAAUUCCUAGUGUAGCGGUGAAAUGCGUAGAUAUUAGGAAGAACACCGGUGGCGAAGGCGGCUUUCUGGACAGAAACUGACAUUGAGGCACGAAAGUGUGGGGAGCAAACAGGAUUAGAUACCCUGGUAGUCCACACUGUAAACGAUGGAUACUAGGUGUAGGUGAUGAUAAGUCAUCUGUGCCGUCGCAAACGCAGUAAGUAUCCCACCUGGGGAGUACGGCCGCAAGGUUA